This 740-nucleotide ribosomal RNA is filed under the name uncultured bacterium. RNAcentral's name for it is "bacterial SSU rRNA". It matches the Rfam family "Bacterial small subunit ribosomal RNA", at positions 8 to 796 of the family's 1533-position model. The record is from RNAcentral.
AGAGUUUGAUCCUGGCUCAGAACGAACGCUGGCGGCAGGCUUAACACAUGCAAGUCGAACGCACCGCAAGGUGAGUGGCAGACGGGUGAGUAACGCGUGGGAACGUGCCCUUCAGUUCGGGAUAACCCAGGGAAACUUGGGCUAAUACCGGAUACGUGCGAGAGCAGAAAGAUUGAUCGCUGAAGGAUCGGCCCGCGUCUGAUUAGCUAGUUGGUAGGGUAAUGGCCUACCAAGGCGACGAUCAGUAGCUGGUCUGAGAGGAUGAUCAGCCACAUUGGGACUGAGACACGGCCCAAACUCCUACGGGAGGCAGCAGUGGGGAAUAUUGGACAAUGGGCGCAAGCCUGAUCCAGCCAUGCCGCGUGAGUGAUGAAGGCCUUAGGGUUGUAAAGCUCUUUCGUCCGGGACGAUAAUGACGGUACCGGAAGAAGAAGCCCCGGCUAACUUCGUGCCAGCAGCCGCGGUAAUACGAAGGGGGCUAGCGUUGUUCGGAAUCACUGGGCGUAAAGGGCGCGUAGGCGGCUUGAUAAGUCGGGGGUGAAAGCCUGUGGCUCAACCACAGAAUUGCCUUCGAUACUGUCUGGCUUGAGACCGGAAGAGGUAAGUGGAACUGCGAGUGUAGAGGUGAAAUUCGUAGAUAUUCGCAAGAACACCAGUGGCGAAGGCGGCUUACUGGUCCGGUUCUGACGCUGAGGCGCGAAAGCGUGGGGAGCAAACAGGAUUAGAUACCCUAGUAGUCC